This is a transfer RNA of Yarrowia lipolytica, 87 nucleotides long. It matches the Rfam family "tRNA". From Rfam's summary of the family: Transfer RNA (tRNA) molecules are approximately 80 nucleotides in length. Their secondary structure includes four short double-helical elements and three loops (D, anti-codon, and T loops). The record is from Rfam. NCBI's taxonomy places the organism in Eukaryota, Fungi, Ascomycota, Dipodascomycetes, Dipodascales.
GGUUGUAUAGUGUAGCGGUUAUCACCUUGGAUUCUGACUCUUAAUAGUCGACUUCCAGUAACCCCGGUUCGAUUCCGGGUACGACCU